RNAcentral lists this ribosomal RNA (497 nucleotides) under uncultured bacterium. RNAcentral's name for it is "partial 16S ribosomal RNA". It matches the Rfam family "Bacterial small subunit ribosomal RNA", at positions 28 to 507 of the family's 1533-position model. The record is from RNAcentral.
GAUGAACGCUGGCGGCGUGCCUAAUACAUGCGAGUCGAGCGAACAGAUGAGGAGCUUGCUCCUCUGACGUUAGCGGCGGACGGGUGAGUAACACGUGGAUAACCUACCUAUAAGACUGGGAUAACUUCGGGAAACCGGAGCUAAUACCGGAUAAUAUAUUGAACCGCAUGGUUCAAUAGUGAAAGACGGUUUUGCUGUCACUUAUAGAUGGAUCCGCGCCGCAUUAGCUAGUUGGUAAGGUAACGGCUUACCAAGGCAACGAUGCGUAGCCGACCUGAGAGGGUGGUCGGCCACACUGGAACUGAGACGCGGUCCAGACUCCUACGGGAGGCAGCAGUAGGGAAUCUUCCGCAAUGGGCGAAAGCCUGACGGAGCAACGCCGCGUGAGUGAUGAAGGUCUUCGGAUCGUAAAACUCUGUUAUUAGGGAAGAACAAAUGUGUAAGUAACUAUGCACGUCUUGACGGUACCUAAUCAGAAAGCCACGGCUAACUACGUG